CACGUAGGGCGCAAGCGUUGUCCGGAAUCACUGGGCGUAAAGGGCGCGUAGGUGGCGACCCAAGUCGAUGGUGAAAGCUCGACCGCUCAACGGCGAGUCGGCCACCGAUACUGGGGUUGCUCGAGCACUGUAGGAGGCUAAUGGAAUUCCGGGUGUAGCGGUGGAAUGCGUAGAGAUCCGGAAGAACACCGGUGGCGAAGGCG
Molecule: ribosomal RNA, 203 nt
Filed under: uncultured bacterium
Lineage: Bacteria
Description: partial 16S ribosomal RNA
Rfam family: Bacterial small subunit ribosomal RNA
Source: RNAcentral